Carassius carassius (crucian carp) is the source of this 293-nucleotide long non-coding RNA. RefSeq lists it as uncharacterized. The record is from RefSeq and is a predicted model, not a curated record. NCBI's taxonomy places the organism in Eukaryota, Metazoa, Chordata, Actinopteri, Cypriniformes, Cyprinidae. The transcript is spliced from 3 exons.
GUCUAACAACAGUAGAGUAAAACACUAUAUUAAAACACAUCAACAAUAUUUAUAAAACCGAGAUGAGUAAUCAGGAGCGGCACGGAGCGGCAUCAACAUCCUCAACCGCAGGGCAUUCGAGGCAGCCCGAGGGCCAAAGAGAAAUGUCACUUCUCCAGGAACAAGUGCAAGAAGAUAUCUUACAGCGUAUGCUAACCAAGUUUAACUUGAUUUGUCGGAAUGAAGCUAUAGAUUUGGAUCACCUCCUGGAUGUUGCUCAGCAAGAACUUGCUUUGGCUAUUAAUGCAUCAAAU